RNAcentral lists this ribosomal RNA (515 nucleotides) under uncultured bacterium. RNAcentral describes it as "bacterial SSU rRNA". It matches the Rfam family "Bacterial small subunit ribosomal RNA", at positions 28 to 535 of the family's 1533-position model. The record is from RNAcentral.
GAUGAACGCUAGCGGGAGGCUUAACACAUGCAAGUCGAGGGGCAGCAUAGGGUAGCAAUACUCUGAUGGCGACCGGCAAACGGGUGAGUAACGCGUAUGUAACCUACCCUGUACAGGGGGAUAACCCGGAGAAAUUCGGACUAAUAUCCCAUAACAAUAUCCGGGGGCAUCUUUGGAUAUUUAAAGUUCCGGCGGUACGGGAUGGGCAUGCGUAACAUUAGCUAGUUGGUAAGGUAACGGCUUACCAAGGCUUUGAUGUUUAGGGGUCCUGAGAGGGUGGUCCCCCACACUGGUACUGAGACACGGACCAGACUCCUACGGGAGGCAGCAGUGAGGAAUAUUGGUCAAUGGGCGCAAGCCUGAACCAGCCAUCCCGCGUGCAGGAAGACGGCGCUAUGCGUUGUAAACUGCUUUUCCAGGGAGAGAAACUUGCGCACGUGUUGCGCAAUUGACGGUACCCUGGGAAUAAGCAUCGGCUAACUCCGUGCCAGCAGCCGCGGUAAACAUACUCGUAC